This 429-nucleotide ribosomal RNA is filed under the name Pseudomonadota bacterium. RNAcentral describes it as "Proteobacteria bacterium partial 16S ribosomal RNA". It matches the Rfam family "Bacterial small subunit ribosomal RNA", at positions 355 to 776 of the family's 1533-position model. The record is from RNAcentral. Lineage: Bacteria; Pseudomonadati; Pseudomonadota.
UGGGGAAUAUUGGACAAUGGGCGAAAGCCUGAUCCAGCCAUGCCGCGUGUGUGAAGAAGGUCUUCGGAUUGUAAAGCACUUUAAGUUGGGAGGAAGGGCAGUAAGCGAAUACCUUGCUGUUUUUACGUUACCGACAGAAUAAGCACCGGCUCACUCUGUGCCAGCAGCCGCGGGAAUACAGAGGGUGCAAGCGUUAAUCGGAAUUACUGGGCGUAAAGCGCGCGUAGGUGGUUCGUUAAGUUGAAUGUGAAAGCCCCGGGCUCAACCUGGGAGCUGCAUCCAAAACUGGCGGGCUAGAGUGUGGCAGAGGGUGGUGGAAUUUCCUGUGUAGAGGUGAAAUGCGUAGAGAUAGGAAGGAACACCAGUGGCGAAAGCGACCACCUGGGCUCAUACUGACACUGAGGUGCGAAAGCGUGGGGAGCAAACAGG